CUAGCAACGGUGGCCCUCGAUGACGACGUUGAAGACUCAAUUAUAUGGAAGUUCACCAAAAAUGGGAUAUAUUCUGCAUCCUCGGCUUACAAGGCUCAAUUUGAAGGCCUCACCACCUCGGACCUUGUCCAUUUAGUGUGGACGAAGUGGGCGCCCUCCCGAUGCAAGUUUUUUGCUUGGCUCAUUCUUCAAGAUAGGAUUUGA
RNAcentral lists this ribosomal RNA (204 nucleotides) under Triticum aestivum (bread wheat). RNAcentral describes it as "partial small subunit ribosomal RNA". The record is from RNAcentral. Lineage: Eukaryota; Viridiplantae; Streptophyta; Magnoliopsida; Poales; Poaceae.